RNAcentral lists this ribosomal RNA (450 nucleotides) under uncultured bacterium. RNAcentral's name for it is "bacterial SSU rRNA". It matches the Rfam family "Bacterial small subunit ribosomal RNA", at positions 28 to 476 of the family's 1533-position model. The record is from RNAcentral.
GAUGAACGCUGGCGGCGUGCUUAACACAUGCAAGUCGAACGAAGCACUUUAUUUGAUUUCUUCGGAAUGAAGAUUUUGUGACUGAGUGGCGGACGGGUGAGUAACGCGUGGGUAACCUGCCUCAUACAGGGGGAUAACAGUUGGAAACGACUGCUAAUACCGCAUAAGCGCACAGGGUCGCAUGACCUGGUGUGAAAAACUCCGGUGGUAUGAGAUGGACCCGCGUCUGAUUAGCCAGUUGGUGGGGUAACGGCCUACCAAAGCGACGAUCAGUAGCCGACCUGAGAGGGUGACCGGCCACAUUGGGACUGAGACACGGCCCAAACUCCUACGGGAGGCAGCAGUGGGGAAUAUUGCACAAUGGGGGAAACCCUGAUGCAGCGACGCCGCGUGAGCGAAGAAGUAUUUCGGUAUGUAAAGCUCUAUCAGCAGGGAAGAAGAAAUGACGGU